CUGUGGGCUAGGUUGGAGUGUCAGCGGUACUCUGUUGCCUGAAAUCCGCUUUAUGCAGGAACCGAAGCCUUUGAAGGCGAGUUCAUUUCUUGGAAGAGAAUCCUUAUUCAAUCUAUGAACUUUCGUCCCGAAGAUUAGGCUUUAAAGCCAAUCCGCCAGGUUCGGAAGAAAGCAACGGUAACUCUAUUGCUUAAUGCUUUUGGGAUUCACGGAAGGAAGAAAGAGUAAGGGCAAUUCUUUUUCAGGAAUUGAAUUCCACUUUAAGGCACGCCCACAC
RNAcentral lists this signal recognition particle RNA (277 nucleotides) under Microcaldota archaeon. Its description in RNAcentral is "signal recognition particle sRNA". It matches the Rfam family "Archaeal signal recognition particle RNA". The record is from RNAcentral. Lineage: Archaea; Nanobdellati; Microcaldota.